RNAcentral lists this ribosomal RNA (253 nucleotides) under uncultured bacterium. RNAcentral describes it as "partial 16S ribosomal RNA". It matches the Rfam family "Bacterial small subunit ribosomal RNA", at positions 524 to 776 of the family's 1533-position model. The record is from RNAcentral.
UACGUAGGGUGCGAGCGUUGUCCGGAAUUAUUGGGCGUAAAGGGCUCGUAGGCGGUUUGUCGCGUCGGGAGUGAAAACACGGGGCUUAACCCCGGGCCUGCAGUGGGUACGGGCAGACUAGAGUGCGGUAGGGGAGACUGGAAUUCCUGGUGUAGCGGUGAAAUGCGCAGAUAUCAGGAGGAACACCGGUGGCGAAGGCGGGUCUCUGGGCCGUAACUGACGCUGAGGAGCGAAAGCGUGGGGAGCGAACAGG